RNAcentral lists this ribosomal RNA (441 nucleotides) under uncultured bacterium. RNAcentral's name for it is "partial 16S ribosomal RNA". It matches the Rfam family "Bacterial small subunit ribosomal RNA", at positions 338 to 795 of the family's 1533-position model. The record is from RNAcentral.
CCUACGGGAGGCAGCAGUGGGGGAUAUUGCACAAUGGGGGGAACCCUGAUGCAGCGACGCCGCGUGGGUGAAGGAGCGUUUCGGCGCGUAAAGCCCUAUCGGCAGGGAAGAAGGAGGACGGUACCUGACUAAGAAGCCCCGGCUAACUACGUGCCAGCAGCCGCGGUAAUACGUAGGGGGCAAGCGUUAUCCGGAUUUACUGGGUGUAAAGGGGGCGCAGACGGCAGCGCAAGCCAGGAGUGAAAGCCCGGGGCCCAACCCCGGGACUGCUCUUGGAACUGCGCGGCUGGAGUGCAGGAGAGGGCGGUGGAACUCCAUGUGGAGCGGUAAAAUGCGGAGAUAUAUGGAAGAACACCAGUGGCGAAGGCGGCCGCCUGGCCUGUUACUGACGCUGAGGCACGAAAGCGUGGGGAGCAAAUAGGAUGAGAUACCCCUGUAGUC